Molecule: ribosomal RNA, 253 nt
Filed under: uncultured prokaryote
Description: partial 16S ribosomal RNA
Rfam family: Bacterial small subunit ribosomal RNA
Source: RNAcentral
UACAGAGGUCCCGAGCGUUGUUCGGAUUCACUGGGCGUAAAGGGUGCGUAGGCGGUCGGGUGAGUCUGAUGUGAAGUCUCACAGCUUAACUGUGAAACUGCAUUGGAUACUAUUCGGCUUGAGAGUUGGAGGGGGGACUGGAAUUCUCGGUGUAGCAGUGAAAUGCGUAGAUAUCGAGAGGAACACCAGUGGCGAAGGCGGCCAGCUAGACCAGUUCUGACACUGAGGCGCGACAGCGUGGGGAGCAAACAGG